Molecule: small nucleolar RNA, 107 nt
Filed under: Gossypium arboreum
Lineage: Eukaryota; Viridiplantae; Streptophyta; Magnoliopsida; Malvales; Malvaceae
Description: Plant small nucleolar RNA R71
Rfam family: Plant small nucleolar RNA R71
About the family: R71 is a member of the C/D box family of snoRNAs containing the C (UGAUGA) and D (CUGA) box motifs.
Source: Rfam by way of RNAcentral
AAGCCAUGGUGAGGGCACCUUCUUAAAAGGUCCUUGUAUCUCUCUCAUGUAUCGUAGAAUGUUUUUAAAUCCAUCUGCACAAAAGAAGAGAUAUCAUUACGUAAAUU